GCAGCUGGACUCAGUUUAGAUGAUCCCAAUUUUGUUGGCAACAUCCAAAGCAUCGUAACCAGGAGCCAGUCGAACAUAUGCCUUCUUCUCUCCAUCAGGUGGGUGACGUGCGGAUCUUCUUCUUUUUGUGGCUGUGGACACCUUUCAACACUGCCUUCUUGGCCUUUAAAGCCUUCGCUUUGGCUUCGGCUUUAGGAGGGGCAGGAGCUUCCUUCUUCGCUUUCGGCGCCAUCUUGUGAAAAGGGUCUUUUUUUUUUUUUUUUUUUUUACACAGGGUCUCACUCUGUUACCCAGGCUGGAGUGCAGUGGCAUGAUCUCGGCUCACUGCAGCCUCCACCUUGUGUUCAAGCGAUCCUCCCACCUCAGCCUCCUGAGUAGCUGGGAUUACAGGCGUGCGCCACCAUGCCUGGCUAAUUUUUGUAUUUUUAGUAGAGACGGGAUUUUGCCAUGUUGGCCAGGCUGGUCUCAAACUCCUAACCUCAAGUGAUCCACCCGCCUUAGCCUCCCAAAGUGCUGAGAUUACAGGCAUGAACCACCACACCUGGCCUGAAAGUUUUCCUUUCUUGCAGGUGGACAUUGAAUAGUAGGCCUAAUUUGGAUUUUGUUUUAAAAGUCCCAAAACAAAAGCAGCUUAAAACCUAAUUAAAAUGAAUUUAAAAAUCUGUGCACUCAACUACUGGUCUCUGGCACCAUUUUCUGUUUUUUGUCCUUGUGGCGCAGGUUCUUCUUUGUUUCUUCUUUUGCUCUUUUCAUUGGCUCAGUUGCACCAUUCUCCAUCACAUUCAUCAUCACUAUCAAAUUUAGUUUACCUGCCCUGAAACUGUACCUUCCCUAUCGCAAACCCAGGCUGGGUAGCUUUAUUACUCUUCCCUUUUCCUGUAAAUCUGCAAUCUUUGACUUCCAUUUAUUUGGGGAUUCUUGUUGGUCUUGCAUGAUUUUUUUCAAUGCUUCUUUUUCAUCUCUCCUUCUACUAUUUCCCAAGUCACUUCUUUGGUUUUUUGUUUUUUAAUUGUGGGUUACCAUUAUUUGUGUCUUUGGCUUUACCUAAUGCUUCUUUGGCUUUUUCUUUAAAUAGAAUUAUCCUCUCUUUUGCUCCUCUGACAAAGUCUAUCCAUUUUAUUUCACCACUUGCAUUUAUUUAUAUUAAAAAAUUUCUCUCAAUCCAGGUAGGAAGAACAUUCUAUGUUUACUACCUUGGGAAGGAAUGACAUACCUGUUCACAUGGAAAAAAGAAUUUACAACCUUGAUAAAAAGAAAAUAUGAUAAGAGCAAAGUUUCCAUGCUUCUAACCACUCAAAUAUUAGGAAUGAUACCCUGAGAUUGGAGCGAGACUGGCAGAGACAGAAAGGGGAAAAAAGAGGGUCACAAAGAGGAGUGGGAAACGACAGAAUCCCAGAAGAAGUUUUAGGGACCAAUGGCGGUGAAAACUUAUGUCUUCAAUCUUGGGCAGAGUUAAGGGAAGUGGCAAGAGAUCCCACAUGGUACAAGAGUAGAAAUGGUGUGCACAUAGUGUGUCUGUACAGCCAGGUCUGUGACAACCUUACCAUGUUCUCCAUAGCUUAGAGGAGAAGAAUGUUUCAUACAUGUACAAGAAUAAUAUGGACAUAGUCCAGACAACUGACAGGAGCUGGAUGAGAAACAAGAAUGGAUGCUGCAGAGACCUAUAUGAACCAAUGGCCAAUGAUCUGGUGGGGAAAUGGGACAUGUCAGUGGUGACAAUUAGGACAAAAUGUCCCCAAAUCCCUUACCUCAUACUUUUAUACCCUGAACACCCUAGAGAAUUUAGAUGUAACUUUGGAGGUGGUAUAAUUGAUUGAGAUUAAUUUUUCCACCUUUCUUCGAAUGGAGGUACUAAAAAAAACUUAAUAGAGUUUAUUUAAAGAAAAAUAAAGUUACAUAUCUUGCA
Molecule: long non-coding RNA, 1906 nt
Filed under: Homo sapiens (human)
Lineage: Eukaryota; Metazoa; Chordata; Mammalia; Primates; Hominidae
Description: HSALNT0390969
Source: RNAcentral